ACGUAGGGUGCGAGCGUUAAUCGGAAUUACUGGGCGUAAAGCGUGCGCAGGCGGUUGUUCAAGACAGAUGUGAAAUCCCCCGGCUCAACCUGGGAACUGCAUGUGUGACUGCACGACUGGAGUGAGGCAGAGGGGGAUGGAAUUCCGCGUGUAGCAGUGAAAUGCGUAGAUAUGCGGAGGAACACCGAUGGCGAAGGCAAUCCCCUGGGCCUGCACUGACGCUCAUGCACGACAGCAUGGGGAGCAAACAG
RNAcentral lists this ribosomal RNA (251 nucleotides) under uncultured prokaryote. Its description in RNAcentral is "partial 16S ribosomal RNA". It matches the Rfam family "Bacterial small subunit ribosomal RNA", at positions 525 to 775 of the family's 1533-position model. The record is from RNAcentral.